ACAACAAACAGGCCGGGAGGAGGGACGGGAGGCCAGGAGAGCUCCACGUUCCGUGAAACCUUUGCAGGGCACCAGCUGAGAGACAGAAUUUUUGGAAGAACUUAGGAAAGAAACUAAGAAAAGACAACAGCACACAGCAACAAGCAGUCAUCCGGGCCUCUCAUGUCACCGAGAACAUUAUGGUGGGCGCCUGUGAGCUCUUCCUGACCACCCAAGACUUCUAGGAUGCUUU
Molecule: long non-coding RNA, 232 nt
Filed under: Homo sapiens (human)
Lineage: Eukaryota; Metazoa; Chordata; Mammalia; Primates; Hominidae
Description: BEAN1 antisense RNA 1
Source: RNAcentral